AGGACGAACGCUUGCGACGUGCCUAAGAAAUGCAAGUCGAACGGGGUCAUCCUUCGGGGUGGCCUAGUGGCGAACGGUCGCGUAACACGUGGGCAACCUGCCCUGAAGCGGGGGACAACACACCGAAAGGUGUGCUAAUACCGCAUGUGAAUCGUGGUGGCAUCACCGAGGAUUCAAAGCCGCAAGGCACUUCAGGAUGGGCCCGCGGCCUAUCAGCUAGUUGGUGAGGUAACGGCCCACCAAGGCUUCGACGGGUAGCUGGUCUGAGAGGACGAUCAGCCGGAUUGGGACUGAGAUACGGCCCAGACUCCUACGGGGGGCAGCAAUUAGGAAUCUUGCGCAAUGGGCGAAAGCCUGACGCAGCGACGUCGCGUGAAGGAUGAAAUCUUUCGGGAUGUAAACUUCUUUUUUCGGGGAAGAACAAAUGACGGUACCCGAAGAAUAAGCCCGGCUAACUACGUGCCAGCAGCCGC
This 473-nucleotide ribosomal RNA is filed under the name uncultured bacterium. RNAcentral's name for it is "SSU rRNA". It matches the Rfam family "Bacterial small subunit ribosomal RNA", at positions 26 to 518 of the family's 1533-position model. The record is from RNAcentral.